UGAGUAACGCGUGAGGAACCUGCCUUUCGGAGGGGGACAACAGUUGGAAACGACUGCUAAUACCGCAUGAUACAUCGAAGCCGCAUGGCUUUGAUGUCAAAGAUUUAUCGCCGAAAGAUGGCCUCGCGUCUGAUUAGCUUGUUGGUGAGGUAACGGCUCACCAAGGCGACGAUCAGUAGCCGGACUGAGAGGUUGGCCGGCCACAUUGGGACUGAGAUACGGCCCAGACUCCUACGGGAGGCAGCAG
Molecule: ribosomal RNA, 247 nt
Filed under: uncultured bacterium
Lineage: Bacteria
Description: partial 16S ribosomal RNA
Rfam family: Bacterial small subunit ribosomal RNA
Source: RNAcentral